Molecule: ribosomal RNA, 266 nt
Filed under: uncultured prokaryote
Description: partial 16S ribosomal RNA
Rfam family: Bacterial small subunit ribosomal RNA
Source: RNAcentral
GCCGCCGCGGUAAUACGAAGGGGGCUAGCGUUGUUCGGAUUUACUGGGCGUAAAGCGCACGUAGGCGGACUUUUAAGUCAGGGGUGAAAUCCCGGGGCUCAACCCCGGAACUGCCUUUGAUACUGGAAGUCUUGAGUAUGGUAGAGGUGAGUGGAAUUCCGAGUGUAGAGGUGAAAUUCGUAGAUAUUCGGAGGAACACCAGUGGCGAAGGCGGCUCACUGGACCAUUACUGACGCUGAGGUGCGAAAGCGUGGGGAGCAAACAGG